CAUAAUUCAUGAAAAAGGGACUGUUUCACGUUGAAUCACAAAUGAGAUUAUGUGCAAACUCAGCCCAAGGAAUCAGAGAAACCCAAUCACCUGAUGUUUGGAAACAAAACAUUGUAGAUAUUGUUAAAGUUUUUGAUUAGUACGCUUGGCUGCUUCGUUUGAUUGAGGAUGAUAAGCUGAUGAGAGAUUCUUCCUGAUACCCAUCUGAGAACAGAAUGCAUUCCAAAAACGUGAUUCGAAC
Pelobates cultripes (western spadefoot toad) is the source of this 241-nucleotide non-coding RNA. The record is from the annotation of a GenBank genome assembly. NCBI's taxonomy places the organism in Eukaryota, Metazoa, Chordata, Amphibia, Anura, Pelobatidae.